Molecule: long non-coding RNA, 466 nt
Filed under: Hordeum vulgare
Lineage: Eukaryota; Viridiplantae; Streptophyta; Magnoliopsida; Poales; Poaceae
Description: long non-coding RNA (HVUL_LNC006258)
Source: RNAcentral
CAGGACUACAUGAAUGUGUAUGACCAAGAUAACGAAAGCAUUAUUACAGACUUGCUAAUAAAGAUCUGAGGAAAUUAACAAACAUAGUUUAUCCAUGUGAGACAAGUUAACCCUGAGUCCAGAUCUCUAUCUUCAAAUUAAUUAUCUUUCUACGUUGGAUUCAAUUGCAAGAAACCACCACAUUUGCAGCUAGGUUUGCAGAAAACCACCAAGUUGUUAAUCCGUUGCAAAAAAACACCGCAAUUUCUCUAAUCUUAUUGCAAAAAGCACUGAUCGGGUGAUUAGAUCCGUUUGAUCGCUUUGUGACAAGUGGGACCGAAUUUUGAGGAGCUGACAUAGCAAAAAAUUAGCAUACACACCCCUGAAACAAAUAAGAAAACGCAAUCAACCCCUGCUCCCGAGCAACCCCAUUGCUCCCGAGACCAACCCCAUUGCUCCCGAUAAUCAUGCGGCGGCGGCAGCAGGG